This 468-nucleotide ribosomal RNA is filed under the name uncultured bacterium. RNAcentral's name for it is "partial 16S ribosomal RNA". It matches the Rfam family "Bacterial small subunit ribosomal RNA", at positions 28 to 507 of the family's 1533-position model. The record is from RNAcentral.
GACGAACGCUGGCGGCGUGCUUAACACAUGCAAGUCGAACGGCAAGGCCCUGCUUUUGUGGUGUGCUCGAUUGGCGAACGGGUGAGUAACACGUGAGUAACCUGCCCUUGACUUUGGUAUAAGUUCACGAAACUGGGGCUAAUCUCGGAUAGGAUCUCCUGCUGCAUUGUGGGGGUUGGAAAGUCUCGGCGGUAGCGGAUGGACUCGCGGCUGAUCAGCUAGUUGGUGGGCUAGGGGAUUACCCACGCUGUGACGGAUAGCCGGCAUGAGAGGGUGACCGGGCUCAAUGGGACUGAGGGACGGACCAGACUCGAACGGGAGGCAGUAGUGGGGAACAUGGCACAAUGGGCCGACGCCGGAGGCGGCAGCGCCGCGUGCGGAAAGACCGCUUUUGGGGUAAAAACCGCUUCCGCCUGUGACGAAGCGUUAGUGACGGUAAUCGGUAAAGAAGCACCGGCUAACUACGUG